CUUUUUUGGUACAUUCCAGAAACCCAGGACCCCCUCCAUGAUGCAGGCUAUGGGGCCACAUAAAACUUUGUCCAGGGUUACAUAACAUAGCACGACAACUGUAAACUACUACUACAGUACUAAAGAACCCCCUGAAUGAUGUAGGCUAUGGGGCCACAUAAGACUUUGUCCAUCCAGGGUUACAUAGCACGACAACUUUAAACUAAAAAACCCCCUGAAUGAUGUAGGCUGUGGUGCCACACAAGACUUUGUGCAUUCAGGGUUACAUAGCACGACAACUUUAAACUAAAAGUAAGGAAUUAAUUCACAUACAUUAACUUUUUUACUCUUGAUAUAACUCAAAGUAAGGAAUUAUGAACUAAAAGUAAGGAAUUAAUUAACAUACAUUAACUCUUUUGCUCUUGAUAUCUACUAUUUACA
Molecule: long non-coding RNA, 420 nt
Organism: Macrobrachium nipponense
Lineage: Eukaryota; Metazoa; Arthropoda; Malacostraca; Decapoda; Palaemonidae
Exons: 3
Source: RefSeq, a predicted model, not a curated record